GUGCUUGCUUUUGCAGCACUUAUACUAAAGCUGGAAUGAUACAGAGAAGAUAAGCAUGGCCCCUGCACAAAGACGACACACAAAUUUGUGAAGCGUUCCUUUUUUUU
Molecule: small nuclear RNA, 107 nt
Organism: Bison bison bison
Lineage: Eukaryota; Metazoa; Chordata; Mammalia; Artiodactyla; Bovidae
Source: Ensembl